This 468-nucleotide ribosomal RNA is filed under the name uncultured bacterium. Its description in RNAcentral is "partial 16S ribosomal RNA". It matches the Rfam family "Bacterial small subunit ribosomal RNA", at positions 28 to 507 of the family's 1533-position model. The record is from RNAcentral.
GACGAACGCUGGCGGCGUGCUUAACACAUGCAAGUCGAACGGAAAGGCCCUGCUUUUGUGGGGUGCUCGAGUGGCGAACGGGUGAGUAACACGUGAGUAACCUGCCCUUGACUUUGGGAUAACUUCAGGAAACUGGGGCUACUACCGGAUAGGAGCUCCUGCUGCAUGGUGGGGGUUGGAACGUUUCGGCGGUUGGGGAUGGACUCGCGGCUUAUCAGCUUGUUGGUGGGGUAGUGGCUUACCAAGGCUUUGACGGGUAGCCGGCCUGAGAGGGUGACCGGCCACAAGGGGACUGAGAGACGGCGCAGACGCGUACGGGAGACAGCAGUGGGGAAUAUUGCACAAUGGGCGGAAGCCGGAUGCAGAAACGCCGCGUGCGGGAUGACGGCCUUCGGGUUGUAAACCGCUUUCGCCUGUGACGAAGCGUGAGUGACGGUAAUGGGUAAAGAAGCACCGGCUAACUACGUG